AACAUUCUAGAAACACUUUCCAGUACCUCUACUUUGUUACGACUUAUUCCAACUUAUAUAUGAAAGUGACGGGCAAUAUGUACAUAUUUUAAUUUUUAAUCAUUUUAAAAAAUUAAAUAAAAUUACUUUUAAAUCCACCCUGAAUAAAUUUUUACAAAUUCAUAUUCAUUUAAAUAAAUUUAUUGUAAUCCAUUAUAUUCUUAAUUAUAAACUGCAUCUUGAUCUGAUUUAAUUUUAAAUUUAAAUUUUUAAAUAUUAUUAUUAUUUUAAAAUAUUUUUUUAACAACGAUAUACAAAUUAUUAAAUUAAGUAAAUUUAUUCGUGGAAUAUCAAUUAUUAAACAGAUUCCUCUAAAUGAACUAAAAUACCGCCAAUUUAUUUAAGUUUCAAUAAAAAAUUAAUUACUAUUUUAGUAUUUUAAAUUUAAAUUUUUCAUAAUAGGGUAUCUAAUCCUAGUUUUUUUUAAAAUUUAUUAAUUAUCAUAAAUAAAAAUUUAAUUUUUUAUUAAAUUAAAAUUUCACCUAAUAAUUUAAAUUUUUAAUUAAUUUCAUUUUAUUUAUAAAUUAAUAACUAAAAAAAUUUAUUUUAAAUUUUGUUUAACCGCAACUGCUGGCACAAAAUUAGUUUUUAAUUUUUAUAUUACUAAAUCUUAAUUUCUUAAAUUUUUAAUAUUAAUUACUACUAAUAAUAAAUAUUUUAUUAUUAAAAUAAAAUAUUCACUAAAAUUUAUAUGUAAAAUAAAUUCAAAAUAAAUUACCUAAACCAUAAAAAUUUAUU
RNAcentral lists this ribosomal RNA (777 nucleotides) under Dendrolimus kikuchii. RNAcentral describes it as "12S ribosomal RNA". Lineage: Eukaryota; Metazoa; Arthropoda; Insecta; Lepidoptera; Lasiocampidae. The record is from RNAcentral.